RNAcentral lists this ribosomal RNA (518 nucleotides) under uncultured marine eukaryote. Its description in RNAcentral is "SSU rRNA". It matches the Rfam family "Eukaryotic small subunit ribosomal RNA", at positions 682 to 1202 of the family's 1831-position model. The record is from RNAcentral.
CUGACUGGUCUGUUCUUCUUCGCAAAGACUGUGUAUUCUCUUCAUUGAGUGUGCUCAGGAUUUACGACGUUUACUUUGAAAAAAUUAGAGUGUUCAAAGCAGGCCUACCGCUUGAAUACAUGAGCAUGGAAUAAUGGAAUAGGACUUUGGUCUUAUUUUGUUGGUUUCUAAGACCGAAGUAAUGAUUAAGAGGGACAGUUGGGGGCAUUAGUAUUUCGUUGUCAGAGGUGAAAUUCUUGGAUUUACGAAAGACUAACAACUGCGAAAGCAUUUGCCAAGAAUGUUUUCAUUAAUCAAGCAACGAAAGUUAGAGGAUCGAAGACGAUCAGAUACCGUCCUAGUUCUAACCAUAAACGAUGUCGACUAGGGAUCAGCGGGCGUUAUAUACGACCUCGUUGGCACCUUACGGGAAACCAAAGUUUUCGGAUUCCGGGGGAAGUAUGGUUGCAAAGCUGAAACUUAAAGGAAUUGACGGAAGGGCACCACCAGGAGUGGAGCCUGCGGCUUAAUUUGACUCA